CUGUUCAACUAUAGCUAAACUUACACAUGCAAGUAUCCGCAAACCUGUGAGGAUGCCCUUUCCUCCUGAAUGGAGACGAGGAGCAGGUAUCAGGCACGAGUCAUUUCAGCCCACGACGCCUUGCUCAGCCACACCCCCAAGGGACUUCAGCAGUGACAAAUAUUAAGCAAUGAGUGAAAACUUGACCUAGUUAGUGCUUACAGGGUUGGUAAAUCUCGUGCCAGCCACCGCGGUUAUACGAGGGACCCAAGUUGACAGCUGCCGGCGUAAAGAGUGGUUAAGAUACAUCUAAACUAAAGUCGAACAACUUCAAAGCUGUUAUACGCUUACGAAAAAACGAAGCCCAACAACGAAAGUGACUUUAACCUCGCUGAUUCCACGAAAGCUAGGAAACAAACUGGGAUUAGAUACCCCACUAUGCCUAGCCCUAAACAAAGAUAGCCCACCACUUACGCUAUCCGCCCGGGUACUACGAGCACCAGCUUAAAACCCAAAGGACUUGGCGGUGCUUUAGAUCCAUCUAGAGGAGCCUGUUCUAGAACCGAUAAUCCCCGUUAAACCUCACCCUUCCUUGCCUUAUCCGCCUAUAUACCGCCGUCGUCAGCUCGCCCUUUGAGGGUCAAAUAAUGAGCUAAACUGGUACUGCCCUAGACGCCAGGUCGAGGUGUAGCGAAUGGAGGGGGAAGAAAUGGGCUACAUUCAAUAUACUACAAUGAAUACGGAUGGCGGAUUGAAACAUCUGCCUAAAGGAGGAUUUAGCAGUAAGCAAGAAAUAGAGUGUCUUGCUGAAUUUGGCCCUGAAGCGCGCACACACCGCCCGUCACUCUCCCCGACUCCAUCGACACCUAAAUAACUAAUAAGACAAGAUCUUGUAAGGGGAGGC
Molecule: non-coding RNA, 883 nt
Filed under: Xyrichtys splendens (green razorfish)
Lineage: Eukaryota; Metazoa; Chordata; Actinopteri; Labriformes; Labridae
Description: partial 12S ribosomal RNA
Rfam family: Bacterial small subunit ribosomal RNA
Source: RNAcentral